AUUCAGACCCAGAUCGGAUUUGAAAAUAUCGGAUUUGUGCUGUUCACACUGUCAUACCAUGAUCGGAUGUGGGUUGCAUAGGGUCAAAAAAGUCGGAUUGCAGUCGCCUGCAGUAUGAACGUAGCCUUAUAGGCACAAACAGGAACUUCUGUUUUUUCUUCAUUAAGUUGGCAAAAAUUGUCAGCUAAACAACUUUUAAUAGAAUCUAUUUGCAUAAGUUUGAUGUGCAACAGAAAUAUCUUGGAGCUUAAAAUAGAUAUAUAACUGAAUGUCAUCUGCAUAGCCAUGCUAAGAAAUGUCCUUUUGAGUGCUCAAAAUGUGUUAAAGAACGAACAGAUAUAAGAGAAACAGUAAGGGCCCUAAAAGAGAACGCCGAUAGAGACCGACCAGUAUCUCAGCCUAUGACAAAUAACGUGAUUGUCAUCAGUGUCAAUGGCAGAGGUCAGACAACAUCAGCAAAACAGAACAUUUCCCUGAACCACUUCGGAUCGAGAGGUUGUUUGAGACUCUAAGAAGAGCUGUUUUGAUGAGGUCUAUGAAAGCCAGACUGAAAUCUACCAAGAUGCUUUUUUUGUCCAAACCACUUAGCUAUGACAUUCUCCAAAAUGUUAGCAAUAAAAGGUAAUUUUAAGAUUAGCCUGCAACUACUGAGAAGAGAGGCGACAAGCUGUUUUUCUGUUUUUAAUGGAUAGCGUUCUGGUCUUGAUUAAUGAAAGCAAACUGAUAAGACUGAAAGACAGUUUUGAACAGAGAUCUUUGUAAAAUAACAGGUUGAGCUGGGGUAGGAACAGGCAGCGGAGAUGCUGAAGAAAAAGUAUCAUUUCUCACACUACUCAUUUUUUCUACAAAGAAAGUAAGAACAUAUUCACAAUGUUCACUGGGAAAAAUUGGGACAACGGGUCAAACACAAGUAAAAAUGUCACUAGUUGUGUAACACCCACCUCUGCUCUUUGAAACUAGGUUUUAAGACAGCGCAAAAGUUUUGGUAGCGGACCCUUUUUGGAUUCCAUUGGUUGACUUGUGAUGUUUGAGUGGGCUUCGCUUGCUUGCAGGGAAGCAAAACGGGGAACACACUAGCCGAAAUGCAAUUUUGAACCUGUCAUCUGCUGCCUGACAACAGUUUCUCUUUUUAAAAAUGCAUCUGCUUUCAUGACCAGUGAUUGGCACAUCGAACAGGAACUCUUGGCCUGCUAUCCGCUUGGUAUACCGGAGGCCCCGAAACAUCAGCUGUCCGCUAAUCCAGUUUAAAUCAUUUGAAUACUGUUCACUCUGAGACCCACACGAAAUAUCCCUCUGUGAAUGUACAUAUAAAAAGUAUUACAGUCACAGAUAAAAUUGGCAGCUACUUUUAAUGCAUACCAUGGAAAUGUUUCAUGGUUAUGCUGGUACUACAGUGACCUCCUGUUGGCACCAAUGAUUGCUUUUUAUUAGAUGGAGCCACAAAUGUUUCCCGGUGACUGAUUUACACAUUAUUACUGUCUCUACUAGCUAAGACAUUCCUUACGUUUUGAGUGGUGGAAGUAAAUCACUAGCUCGAUUUAUGAAUAGCUUCUAUGACUCAGUUCGCAGUGACUGAGUGAUGUGAAAGAUCCACUUAUGAAUUCCAGCAUCGAUAAAUAAACUCUUGAAGAAAUACAUUUCAGUUGCCACUUUUUGACGAGAUCUGGAAACAGCAUGCUGCAGUGGUAAAUGAAACAAACAAACAAACAAAAAACCAAGGCUUUGCUGCACACAGCAGUCAGAUCAUGCUGUAGGAAGACAGAAAGGUCAAAAUAAACUCUGCACAUGCCUCCCAGGUUUUAGCGAUAAGAGAAAUAAGAGAAGGAGGUGUGUCUUUUGUACACAUAGCCAUAUGAGAUCUUUAGACUUGCUGGAUUAUAACUGUAAACACAAAUGUGGCACACAAAUGCACCUGGCCAUAUUAUUCCCUUCUGUUAGUCUUCUAUAGGGUAUGCGUAACUGCUUGCAGGUACUGAGCCAUGACUUCAAUCAGCAGCCAUGCUUCAUCGUCAGCUGUUUAUUUUUGUCAUUCUGUUUGAAUAUGCAAGUGCAGAUACAGUGCCGAUGUUUGUGUAGUAUGCAGAGGAAUGCAGUCCUCGUAGCUGGGAGGUGCUUUGCUGCCUGAGCUGAGUUCAAGUUCAGCCUCCUUUCCUUUUCUCUUGUCUUCUCUCUGUCUUACCCACCACAGUCCGGGGGCUCAUCAGGUUCCAGUUGUUUUCUGGCUAUUCGGGGUCAGCGAUGCACGUUGGCAGACCUCAUUGGCAACUUUCUCGUUGCAGUGCAAAAAUCUGUUGGAGACUGAACUCGGCUCAGCGUUUGUGUGCCCCGGUGUUGAGUAACAAUGAGGUCCGCAGGGCGAUUGGCAGAUGUCUGUUUGGUGCUGCAGAUACAGUCAUGCCAUUGUGUGGAGUCAGCAAGUAAAAUGUGUGUGUUUGUGUGCGUAUGUGGAUAAGGGGUGAAGAAAAGCGGCUGUUUGUUUUGGCAGGAAGAUCAUUUGCCAAAGAAGUGGCUCCGCAGCCAAUUCUCACCAAACAAGCAGUGAGUGUUUUAUCAGUCCAAGCACUUCAACGGGCGAAAUGAGAAGGUGGCCAUUUUACUCCUCGCACUCUUUGCUGCUCUUCACAGCUAAGAGGGUUAAUGGUGAGCUGCCGCUCGGCCACUUUUAGCGCGGUGUUCCAUUAAAUUCAAAAGCUUGCGAUCCCUAAAACUUCCCUGUAACAUUUGUUGUUAACAAGAGAAUGAAAUUAACAGUUCCAGCUAAUCAGCAGCAUGACAAAGCUUUAUGGUUUCUCUGAUCUUUUCUUCUACUUGCUAUGACUCACUUGAAGCCCCAUUGUUUGCUCCGAGCCAAGAUCCUCCAGUCCAGAGGGCGUCGGUGCCAAGCAUGGCUCUGAGGAUAUUACAAAAAGGGAAAACCCAUCUUCCCCCAAAACCUUCUUCCAUUACAGAAAAGAGGUUUUCCGCUUCAAUCGAAACUGUCAGUGGAAGUUUUUCAAGCCACUUGGAAAACAUCAAUUGCUGCUUUUUCAGUCUUUAUGUUGGCAAAAUCAUCAGUCACAGGAGCAGCAUGAUCCUUUCGUAGUAGUUUUUCAGAAGAAAAGGCAGCUUGUGCAUGUGUUUUUAUGUCCUUUAUGCUCUCUUUUGUUGUGUGCAUGUAUUGUUGAGCUGCACAGCUGACAGGUCUGUGAAAUAUCAGCACCUGCAUUGUUUUUUCUCACAGUAAUCUUUGCAACUGAUGUGGACAUGAAUAUGCCGCCUGUGUGUGGAGCACAUCUUUUUAGUUUUAAACGACGAGCUGUUUCAUGUUGGCGCAGGAGUAAUAGGAGCCGCGGCGUGACAGCCAGGCCUGAGGCGACCCAGAAAUGUGCCUUCUUGGAACUUCCUUCUCAUUCCUUGGGCAUAAGAACAGCGGUGCAGCGCAGGCUAGACUCCAAAACCAACAGUUUUGGAAAUAUCUGUUACAUUUGCAUCCCAAAUAUUCAGAAGAGCUUGCAUGAUGUUCUUAUUUGGGUUGACAGGGUUUCAUUUUUCAUUCUUCGUGCCUCUUGUGUUUUCUUGUCAUACUUGGCUGUUUUUGUGUUGACUUAUCUCGUUGACACACAGGAUGGGUAAUUUUGGGCAGCGUAGAUGUCUGACUGCAAACAACAUGUACAGCUUAGAGUCCGCGCAGGAACGGCGUAAACAUGGUUUCCGAUUGAGGCAAAUUCCUGUGGUCAUGUCGCCACUUUUAAUGUUGACUUUUUUCUCCAAUACACCUUCUUCUUCUUCUUUCAUCGCUAUGUGGAAAAAACACUUAAAGAGAACCUAUUAUGCUCAUUCCCAACACUUAUUUUUAUUCUUGGACUCUACUAGAGUAGCCCUGCAUGAUUCAGAAAAUAAUCCCUUGUUUUAAUACUGUUCAGGCUCUCAGUUCAACUAGUGGAAUAAGCUAUUUUAACUCCCUUUACGUUAACUUUCUGCUGAUUGGUAGCCCCUCACAAGCAAAGGAUUUGGACGGUGGAUGGGUGGGGCUUCGGUGUUAUUCAUAUGACCAGGACAUCCACAUUUAUUCACAUUAUAAAGAGCCAUGACUAGAAAAUAACCUGCCUGAAACUGAAUGUUUGGAGCAGUCUGAAGCCCGAGCUUGUGGCUCAUUGGCUCAUCACUCUAACAUAUUAUAAUAUUAAAGAAAAGAAGAGUGUCACACACCUCUUUAAUUGCUCUCUUUUAAAUUUAAUGUUGUCUGCAAACGUCUUUGACAGAAAAGUCUAAUAUGUUUGAGUAAAUUAAAUCUUAAACAGUUAAACCACAAAUUUCCUUUUACUCUGAAUCGCAUCUCCUUGUGAGGGACCAAAAAUCUGUGGGCAUCCUCUUUGUGGGAUAAUGCCUAAUACAAAAAUGUGAAAGAAGCCAUGCUGUCUCUGUUAUAAGUUAAUAAAAAUUCCACCUACAAGCACCUCAUAUAAGUGAUAAAAGACUAGUUUGUUAGUUUCAAAGGGCUAAUGUGUGAUUUCUUGGCAACCUCAAGUCUUCUUGUUAUCGUCCAGUUUCUAACAAGGUAUGAGUCUGACACAAAAUACCUUUGUUUACCUAAUCCUUUCUGUACAGCUGUAAUUGAUGGAGAUAAAACGAGCUAAUUACUGAGCUGACAGGCCGAGUCAUAUUAGCCACGUUCGCGUUUCCAAUCUUUAUGCAAAGAGACUUUAACCAUUAGGGUGUGUGCCGGCAGGAUCUGAAAGCCACUCAAAUCUAGAGCAAACACUGCAAACAAAAGUGUCGAGGCGAUCAAAAGCGGAGCAGGCAUUUCUUGUGCCCCUCUUUAAAAGAAAAAAAAUAAAUAAAUAGAGAGAAGGAACCUUCUUGACCUGCUUUCAGCCAAUCAGCCCUUGACAACAGGCUCAACCUGAGCAAACAGUGAGGAAAGUAAUCAGCUUUCACAUAACCCUGAUAGUAACUAUCUCCUCAGAGUUAUACAUCAGCUGGUAUUGAUUAAUGUGAUGAUGUUGUUGCCGUCCAGCACCGUGGCGUAGAGAUGACUGCACUGGUGUUUUCCAGCUUUUAAACUUUGCUUGUAAGUUAUGUGCAUAAGUGCUUAAUUAGCAGUUUUCCUCCUCAGUUAAUAAUUAUAUCUAUAACAUGUAAGAAAACUGCAAGGAAAAUCAUCACAUUCUGGCAUUUUAGAAGUGUGCACUGGCAGUAUUUUCACAUUUUUGCUUUCGAAAUGACUGCAGAGAUAAUUGCAUUAACACAGACAAGUCUGAUUAAUUUUCCGUCGAUCUACUAACCGAUCAAUCACCUAAUCAUUUCAUCCCUAAACUGAAUUAAAACAAGUUGCGUCACAGCUCCUGGCUCCAGCUGCACGCUCACCCUACAGACACAGGAAUGGUAUCAAUCUUCUCAUCUAACUCUUGGCCAGAAAGAAAGUGCGCCUGCUUCUCAAAAAUGCCGAGCUAUUUCUUUGAAAGCUCAGGGUGCUCAAAACAAACCAGUUCAUUCAAACACGCGUGCGCCAACGCAUAUAAUGAAUAUAAAUGGAGGACUUGAGAGAUGCAGUAUAUGCUCAUCGCCAACAAUUCUCAGUUUCCUUUUCCCACCACCUACAUUUGGAAAGGUGUGUACGCCUGUAUGGCUCCAUUAAAAGGUAUCGGUUUUAAUCAUACUUAAAAAAGUGAUUACGUGGAGCUACAGCACAGUGAGCCUGUUCUUAUUUGGAAAUAUUGACACAACAAUGAAUCACAGACUCAUAUCCUCUCAGUUUUCUCACGUCUGCUGACAUUUCAAACUGUGCGAAUAAUUGCCAAAUUGUCUCGGGCUGUAUUAAGCCAGGGGAGGAUACAAAUGCCUUUAAGCAACAUCAGCUGAGGAGAUGUAGAGGCCGGAAUAAAUGCAACGCUGCUUAUCCUGCCAACAAAGCCUUAGAAACAGUUACACUUGUUUCAUAAAUCAACUUGUUAAAAAGCACAUGCACAUAAGAGAAUAAGCACUCCCAUUUUCCUAAAAGCUGUACGGGAGGAUGGUGGUGGAAGGGGGUGGGUCAGGAGGUGAUGGAGUUUGUAAGAUAAACUUGGCUAAACUUUGUCAGUGUACGAAAUUCCCCUCAUCAGACCCCAGCCUGCCAUCCUCCCCUCUCUACCCAUCCGUAUCCAACAGUGUGCAAAGCUAACAAAGCCAGUAUUUAAAAAGCUAUUAAAGAACUACACAACUUCUUUCAUCAUUUAAAAUGUCAAAAGCUUGAAUAAGCAUCCCGUUUAUACAAUGAGCAAUCCCUCCAGGAAUAAUUCUCAGAAUUUCAGCCACUCUUCACAUCAUUUGUGCGAGUUUGCAGUUUUGCCUGCAGGGUGCUUGUAGAUUUUAUCAGUUACUGCAUCUCAAAUACAAAUAAUCCAAUUCAGAAUCACCACUAUAAGCUGAGCUCAAACUAAAAUGGAAGGUAAGUUCAUGCCUAAGGGUCUUGCUGUCUGUUGGAUUUUGGAAAUCUAAGUCAUGCGUCAACUCCAGCAAACACUACCAUUUAAAGGUUUAGAUUAUAUGUAACUUUUAAUUUAAACGGGGACCUAUUUAGGAGACUUCCUCGCUUUCUAUCAGAUAUAUGCACUCACGAGACACUUCAUUAGUUAUUCUUUGCUAGUAGUUGGUUGGAACCCCUUUUGCCUUCAGAACUGCUUUCAUUCGCUACAAAUUCAAAAAGCUGCUGGAAACAUUCCUCAGAGAUUUUAGUUCAUAUUGACUCGAUAGAAUCACACACUUGCUGCAGAUUUGUUGACUGUACAUCCGAGAGGUGCACUGUUGGAUAGAGAUCUGGUGAUUGUGGAGGCAAUUUGAGGAUAGGGAACUCAUUUAAAGAAAUAGCCUGAGAUGAUUUGAGCUUUGUGAUGUGGUGUGUUAUCCUCCUGGAAGCAGCCAGAAGAAGACGGGUACACUAUGGUCAGCAACGGUACUCAGGUAGACUGUGGUGUUUAAAAAAUGCUCAGCUGGUACUUGAGGGGCCCAAAAUAUGAAAAACACUGAUAUACCACCACCACGAGGCUGAACUGUUGAUACGAGGCAGGAUGAAUCCAUGCUUUCAUGUUGUUUGCACCAAAUACUGACCUCACCUUCCAAAUAAAGACUCAUCAGACCAGGCAACAUUUUUCCAAUUUUCCAUUGUCCAAUUGUGGUGAGCCUGUGCAAACUCUAACCCAAAUUUUCUGUUCUAAGCUGACAGCUAAGCAGUGAAAAAGGUAUCAUGACUCCUACUUGACCAAGCAUAAUGUUAUUGGCUUGUAUUUUUCUAAGGUGGUAUAAUGAAACAGAUUACACCGUAUUUUGCUAGCACACUGACCGAGAUUCAGUGAUCAGGGACAAUGACUUUGUUGCUUUCCAUCGCCACAACUGACAGAACCAAUAUCAUCUUUCUGUUGGCUCACUUGUGUGUGUGUGUGUGCGUGCUCCAAAAUGUUGUGUGUUACAUUCAUAAAACUACAAGAGAGAAUGCAAAAAAACCCAAACAAAAACUGGGCAUACUGCAGUCUUUUUGACAGGAUGCUGUCUGACGUCCAAAAUAUUGUGACGUCUGCCUGGGUUUCUAUUAUUCAGCUGACAUAAUGUUGUCUGAUUGUGUCAGAAACACCAGCUGUAAUAUUUUAAUAGUAUUUAUACUCUUCUCCCUGCUGUAGUUUUUGUUAAAUCACUGUAAAAUAACAAGAAAUAAAAGGUCAGACUUUGCACAACUUUCAAGUGAUCUUGACAGGAUCCUUGUGGGACUAAAUACGGCAUGUGGGAAAAUCACAGUCUUGAUCAUUUUCUUAAAAUCUGGUAAAGCUUAAAUCUUCAUUGUGUUUUCAGUUUCCUUCUGAGGUUCUCUCGUCAGUCUUGUCAUAUAGUUAGAUUAGUAAUGAAGCUUUGGGCAUUCUUUGUUGGCAAAAUAGCAGCUCUUAAAGAGCAGGCCACAUUUCCAGUGUUGAUACUGUUUCACAGAGUUAUGAUCUCAGAUCACACACAUGAGAACGUAUAUUAGUCUUUUGCUCAUGGACAUUUUCAUACUAAGCCACACACAGACUCCGGCAGUGUCUUCAGAAAAUGCUGAUAUAGUUAAUUUUGACAGGUAAUGCACAAUGAUCCCUGAAAAAUCCUAACUAAAACAGUCAUUCAUUAAGGUUUUGGAAUUGUGACUCGGUCGUAUGGCAGUUUUUCCACCCAGUCUCAUGCUGGAGGGAAUUAGGUAGGUAAACAUUAAAAUUUGGAAGUUGGCUCUAAAACUAGAAGCCAAGAAUUGUUUACUCUAUUACAUUAGGAGGACUCAUUUGGGAAGACUUUGCUAGGGAAACGCAACUCCCCUGCAGAUAUUAUACCUUUAGUGUCAUUUUGACAAACAUUUCAGUCGUAGUUUGGUGAAAAGCGGUGGGACCUGCAUUAAAAACCUUUACCUGGCCGUCACCAAAUUUUGUUCUUUUCUAACAGCUGCCACGGCAUUGAAUUCGGGCUAAGACAGACAUGUUGUGUGUUAGGCAUCAAGAUAAUUAACUGGUCACAGUCAGGUUUUCCUGGAAAUUGACUGUAUUAGUGAGUCUAUUCUCUUAUUCUCGCCUUUUCCCUUUCAUUUUUUUCCCCCGCUUGGCAACUGUCACACAGAAAGCUUUGAAGUGGGUGUAAAUAAGAAGACAUGCAUGCUUAAUGAGCACGAGUAAAAAUGGCUUAAUACUUGUUUUCGCGAUGUAGCUCUGCUUACCGAACUGAACGUCGAGGCAGCGUGACUGCUUAAUUAAGCUGCCUGUUAACACAAAGAGGCCAACAGUGACAUUUGCUGUGGUGACGGUCACAUCAUAUCUGAUUAACUUCAAGUUGUCGUUUGAAAGAGUCCCAAACAUCUGCAACUAAACGCUUAUUUUCACCUCCCGAUCUCACUUGUAAAACUAAAUAUCCUACUGUGACUUGCCGAGCAGAUGUAAUGAGCCGAGAUCAAAUACUGAAAGUCAUUCACAGACGCUGAUAUGUGAAAGGGCCAGAGAGUGAAAAGGAGAAAGGAAAAAAACAAGAAGUGAGGAAUGGUCUUCUGCUUUCAGAUUUACAGCCGCGGGGUCACCAGUAGAGUCGGAGCUGGAGCAGAGUGGUGCAGAACUCGCCUCCUCCUCCUUCCCUGCCUCCCUCCCUCCUGGCCUCCUUAGCCUUCUAUGCUCACACCCAAUUUUUUGGCUCUUUGUUACUGUAUAUAGGUCACACUGUGAUCGUGUGUAUAUACAGGUGAAUUUAUUCUCCUUCCCAGCAAGCAUAUGGAAAGAGGUACUCAAAACAUUUCCUAGAAGUAACUGAACAGAAGAACAAUGCUGCAUUUGAAGCAAAGGUCAUGCCUUCGUGUGUUUUAGAGGAGAACUCAUUCUGAACAGAUCCUCACUGUAAAAAAUCAAAAUAAUGCAUUCAUUGUGUCAUGUAUAGAUUUUUAUUUGAGUGUUUACGUUAAAGUAAAACGUGUUUUAUGAGCUACUUUUAUGUUUUUUUUUAUGUAAAACUCUUUAUUUUAACUUCUCGCCACACACCUACAGCACUAGGAACAUUUCUAGAAUUCUAACGACAUCUGUGUGCAUGUAUGCAUGCGAGUGUCAACUCGGCUAAGCUCAGCUAUGUUGUCAUCAUUUAAAGAAUUUAUACAGUACAUUUAAGGAAUCAUCCCAAGCGGUGCAUGUCUUUUAUUUGCAGAGAAGGAGCGACGGUUAUAAAGCAAUAUUACAUUUUUUCCAUGUCUUUGUUCUUGGCACAACAAACAGCAACGCUGCAGUGAGUCAAUUUUAUCAUCACAAAUAUGUGAUAAGAAUAAUAUGAGCAAUAGCGCUUAUUUUUUUAAAUAGAUUAAACAGGACAGUUUUCCAUCGCUUCUCACAGCCUCUGUAACAAAAUGUAAUGCUUGAGCGUGCGUGUGAAUAAAAGUGCGUUUGCCCCCACUAGCUUACCUGAGCUCCCCGUGAAAAGCGAACACAAUCUCAGCCUGAGCAGAAAGGCAGGAUGUUUUUGAUGAAGCAGUGGGCUUAAUUUAGGCCCAGGCAUUCUCAGUAUCUGUCACCUAACUCCCAGUGAUCUCAACACACAGUGUAGUUGUGCGCAUGUGUGUGUGUGUCGGUUUAUGUUUAUCCACAGAGGCAGGCUAUAAAUUCAAGAAAUGUACACCGACAUUCGGCCCCCCUAUAAACUGUAAUACCUCCCAAAUAUAAAGACAACGUCAUACCCAUUCCCCGUUUUAUUUUGCUAGUAAUAAUGGAGCAAAUAAAAACCGCAGCUUUACAACAGACACUACUAUGAUAGUGUCUCUCUGAUAGGAUUUUAUUAUGAAUUAUUAAUACUGGCUAUUAAAAAAUAAUCCCAUUAACUCUGCCAAAUGCCCCAAAAUCUUGAUUUCUUCUUCUAAAGAAGCUGGCUUGGUUAUAGCUCCUGCUUGGCCAUUAAGUAACCAAACAGGCGUAGGCAUUGCCAGCAAACCAGCAAAAGCAAAAAGCGAGUGCCAGCAACCUCUGCCAAAGACUUCAGCUUGCACCCAGUGUUCUUCUCUUACUGGUACACAGAGAAAUGAUCUGCCUACUUCUUCGAAUUGUACAUUUUUCUAUCCCUGUUUGGAUUUUUUUUAAAAAUUAAAAAAUAUUUUAAGAAUGAAAACCUUUUGUUGCAAGCAGAAAGAUUUAAGAGAAAUUAUGUAGAUUCUUGUUUUUUUGAGCAUGUACGUUUGCUGAUAUGAGCACGUGCAUUUGCUCCUUCUUGGCCAUUAAGUAACCAAGCAGGCGUAGGCAUUGUCAGCAAACCAGCAAAACUAAAAGCCGAGCUCCUACAAACUGCCAGUGACUUUGUUUUGCACAGAGUGUUCUUCUCUUUGCUGGUACAUAAAUAAAUUUUCUACCCUUUGAGUUUAAGACAUUUUCCAGUCUGCAUGGAAAAUGUUCUUAUUCAUAAUACUGACAAACCUCUUUUUUUAAGCAGCUGCAUAACGUAAUUAUAUGGAUCUCCAUUUUCUAGCUCUCUCUCCAUCGUUGCUGGAUGAGCAUGUACAUUUUUGAAAAUCACAAAAGAGGACCUUGCGACGUCUGACCUCGAGCUUGGCGUCACUUUAAUGCGGCAUUAAACGAACGUGCUCCAUCUCGUCAAACGACUGCAUGGAGAGCUAGGAGGAGAUCUCUGUGGUCGUCAUGCACCCAUAACGAAUGGAAAGACAAGAAGACCACACAGCAGCAUGGUCAGAUCAGGUUGUCAGAGACCAUAUAUAAAAUCUGGGUCAGGGUCCAGGCCGUAACCUCACUCUCACUAUGGCUCCGCUCUCGCUUCUCUGUACCCGAUUCCACCUUCGUCCCACGACUCUAUCUUUGUGUUUUCUCCCUCUUUUAGUUGAAUCGCUUCACCCACUUUCCACAUCCACGUCUUUAUGCAUUUCAUUCCCUGUCUCAACCUACUCGGCCCGAGCAAUCCAGGCAGGCAGGCUGUUUGUGCUGAGCUACAUGGCAUCUUUAGAUUAUAUUAAAUUUAUUGUGAAUUCAUGGCAAUGAACGAUGCAUUUAAAUAAAAUAAUGGCAAAAUCUAAAUUUGUGAAUUGUUGAGAUAAUAGUGAAACUAUAUUAUAUUACAUUAUAUUAUAUUAUAUUAUAUAUGUAUAAUGCUGCAUUUUUUUCUAGAAAUACCAGGGCCAGAAGACAGCAUGUCAUUUUUAGAUGUCAACUAGGGAACUGGCUUAGUACCUCUCCUCUUUCUUUCCUUUUUUUUGGGACAUUUUUGAUUAUAACAUCUGAAAGAAAAACCACAAUGGUCCCUUUGUUGGAGAUGAAAGUGUUUCCAGUGUUUUUAACUCUUAAUGAUUUCUCUGUGUUGUUUGCUUUUAGGAAGUGAAGAAGCAUUUGAACCAGAAAACGGAUAAUUACAUCAAACUUAUUUAUUUAUUGUAAAGUAGAACAAAAGAAUGAAAAAAAAUUUUUUUUACUUGUUAUUUGCUGUUUUACCCACACACGAGUUAUGUUCUGAAACCACUUUUAGUACUUUGAAAAAGAUACUUGAGAACAGCACCCAUAUUUUAAAGACAUACUCUGUAUUCUGAGAUAAGCCUCGUGACCUUUGAUAUGUGAUUGAUGUGUUUGGACUUGUUUUGUUUACCGUAGCACACAAAAAUUAUACUUUGCUGCCUAGCAGGCAUUUUCAUCUAAGAGCUACGUGAGUUCCUCUUCAUAUUGCUACUGGGUCCAGUUUCUGUUUAUCGGGGAACAUUUCCUCACAUAAAUCACCCGCUCUUUAAAAAUAAAUUCCAAAAAACAUACCUUUUCUUCUAUUUUGACUGUAUGUGCAUUAAACAUAUGGGAUAUAAAUUUUAAAAAUAUACAUUUUUGACUUUGUCUAAUACAUAUUUUACAGAGCUAAGCUGGCUGCUAACCCUUGUUUUAUAAUAGUGCUACUUAAACUAAAUAUAUCAAUUUCAGAAUUAAGUAUUGCAAGUCAAUUCCUUGUCAGAUAUUAUUAUUAAUCUUUUAAUUUGUUUUGUGUACUUUUAGAAAGUUGAAUAGAAAGAGCCAGAGAUAAAAUUUAAGAGGUGCCACAUAGUUGCCUACUCUCUAAGGCAGACCUGGCAGGCCUGCAGCAGCUCUAACAGUGGCCUUGCUGCCAUUAAUAAUGGGAAAAUGGCAAACACUGUACAAAUCAACUGGCAUGAAUCUCUGUGCUUCUCUACAGCACAGUCUCUCUGAACCUAUUGUGGAGCUAACAUGGCUGCCAGCAAUAAGACAUGAUGACAUUAUCCUGCUUUCUUGCUGGAGGCCUCCCAGUAAGGAGUUCUUGUGAACACAUCUUCCGAGUGACAUGGAGACGGGCCUGCAGCCACCAGCGGAGCUGAGCUGAGCCGCUUUAGAGCCCUGCUGAGACCUGCCAGGCCCACAGCUUUCCCUGCCAGGGGCCUCGCUCGAAGUCAAAGUGAGUUACAACCCAUGCUCUUGACACACACAUGCUAAUGCAGAAGCAAGCACCCACUAUGUAGGCAUGCAGGCGCACGCACAGGUGGAAUACAUAGAGGAAUAUAUGUGUGCAACCAUAAACCAGUACAGAGGCAAAGAAAUAACACUGUACGUGCAAAUAUAUGCACACUCAUACAUAAUGAUACCCCUCUAAAAGAGAUUGUAGCUCCACUGGACCACUAGAUAGACUACAUUUACAUACAAUCACACACAAUCAUAAAUUUGGUAUUUGCAGCCUAAAUAAAUGAUAUCCCUGCUUCUACCCAUGCAGUAAAGUGAGCAUGUCGUCCAACAGGGGCUCUAUCUGUCAGGGGUAGCUUGAGAUCAAGGUCCAGCAGCUGCUGGAUCAGCUGGAUUGAUCUGUCUGGGUAAACAUGAGGACUGAAAAUGAGCAUGUUUGUGAUUAAAGGCUUAACAGGAAGUGCGUGUGACAGUGAGAGAGAGGGAGCUUCAGUAUGCCGUUUAUACCCUGUACAAAAGAGAGCUCUGUGUAUUACCUCCAUAUAUAUGUGUGUGUGUGUUAUAUUGUGCUUAUAUCCAGCUCCAUUUUUAAAAAAUGUUUGGAUACUGCUGGAGUCAAUUUAUAGCAACAUCAUCCUUAUAUUAUACUGGACAUUACUGGUGCAGCCCCUUAGUUCACCCUCCUUUCUUCUGAUUGGCUGCCCCUCGUUAAUAGAAGUCAGUGGGCGGGCGUUCUGUGCUCACAAGCCAGAACUAUGUACCAUUAACUGGAUUGCUGCCCCUGACUGAGCCUGGUUCUGACAGAGGUUUGUUCCUGUUAAAUGGGAGUUUUUCCUUCCCGCUGUUGCCAAGUGCUUGUUCAGUUUAAUGUUUGAAUAUUGGGAUUUUCUCUGUUUUCUGGCCUUUACUUUACAAUACAUCGUGCUUCGAGGCGACGAAUGUAAUUUGGCAAGUUAAUUCACACAACUGAAGUGAAUUAAGAAAACCUCUCAAGCCACUGUAACACAUUUUUGACAGAAAAUCAGGAAAAUCAUAUUGGGGCUGGUUAAUGUUUUUCAUCGUGACUCACCUAAAAAGAGACAGUCUUCCAGGAAAUGGUUACCAAAAAUAUUUUCCUAACCAUAAUCACGCAGUUUUGGUGCCUAAACAUAACAAAACUGCAAAAGUGAAAUUAAAAAACAACCUAAAGUUGUGACUCAACCUUUUCUGAGUUGUCACCAGAUAUCCAAAAUUAUACUGCGAAUUACUGGAGACAUCAACGGCCCCCCCCAGGUGGAAUACUCAAGGCCAUUUUUUAGAUACUGAGCAAAUGAAGGAGAAUUUACUUAAAUGUGGUUGUAGCCACCUUAAUAAUCUUGCAAAGUGCCUUUACAUACAGAGUAAAUGUGUCAGUCCCUCUGCUCAUUACAGCCAAAAGACCCUAUUAAGCUCUCACAUGAGGGCUGACCAACAGUUUCAUGCUGGCUAUAUAUGAAUGUAUCUCACAGCGAUAAUAUAUCGCGAGUGCAUGUGUAGCUAUAUGGUUUGUGUCUAAUCCCAGGAAUGUUGAUGUGGUCCAGAGUUUAAUAAAUGGAGGCGUGGGUGUGGAGUAAGAGUCCCCUGGAGCAGAGUUAAGGUCUUAAUGUACUAAAAAGCCUUGACCCAGACCAUAUACACCCACUCACAGGGACACAGCACCUUCUCUCCAGUCCAGCACAUUCUUUCAUACUUUGGCUACGCAGCAAAGAAAUAUGCACUUAGACAUACACGGAGAUAUGCAAGCACAACAUGGACGAUAUGACCUUAAACAACAAACAUGCGCAAAAUGUACCGAGUGGCUCAAACACACACACACACACACACACACACACACACACACACACACACACAAACACAUCCUUGUUGACUUGUGUUGGUCGUCAUUCAAUGAGGAGCACAUGACUUAAAUCGGGUGUGGUGCAUGACAUCUUAUCGAACAAAAGCGUCCCACAGAGAGAGCUGAUGGGGGAGACGAUCCCUCCCCGCUUGUCCUGUCUGUUGGGAGUCAUGAGGUCUCCAUCUCGUUUGCCACGCUGUGUCUCGUGGUACAAAGUCCAUAAAAUGUUCAAGUUAAAAAAAAAAAAAAAAAAUCCCCUGCUUUUAAAACUUUCAGCUGCGGUGCUGUGUUGUCAAUAAAUCAGCUGCUUUCCCUGAGGAUAGCAACGUUAUCUCCGGGAGGGAGAGGAAGUGCAAAACACUGCACGUUUUUCAAGAAUGAAGCCUUUGAAUUUCUUGUUAUGUCCUAUAAAUGUCUCACCUUGAGGGUCUGAUGUCUCGCCAUGAGAAUGGAGGGCUUGUAUUCUACACAUUCAACCCGUCGCUUCUACAUGCUUCUGCAGUCAUGCAGAAAUAAACUCAAGUAUGUUUAUCACAGAAGCUUUAUUGUGUUUUGUCUCAUUUAAGUGUCUUGCUGAUAAACUUGUCAUUUAACUGUCAAAAUCAUGACGGCUACCUCCAUGUCAGAUCUUACAGGGAAUAUUUCUUCAUUUUCUCAAAUGCAUUGUAGCUCUGAACUUUUCUAACAUUAACCAGCGGAGCUGAAUAUUAGAAUGUAAAUAUCUAUAUCAGUUGGACCAGACAUUACCCAGGCAGCCUCCUUGUAGAAAGUAAAGUCCAAAUGAGCACAUGUGUGAAAGGUUCAGGUAAUUCACAGAGUGAGUUUGCAUCACGUCCCGCCUCCUGCGCAGACUAUCCAGUCGCCACUCUUUGCCCAAACCUAAACUGCACAAUGCAUUUCAAGUGUCACUAUGCAUCUAUCACAUGUGAGAAAAGCCAACUCUGGACAAUGUGCAGACCUGAUUCUCUCAACAUUACCUGGAAUUUAUGUGUAAAACUUGCUAUAGUCUCAUCCACCAAAGUUGCUCGUCACCAUUGAGUCACCAGCUUCAGUGAUAAGAUUGUUUAUCAGAACAAAUCUUUGCAACUGUUGCAACUGUUUUGGAGUCCUGUAAGUCCUGUUAAUACAGGGGAAAUAAUGCGAGUUGCAAUUGCUCAAGUGCUUCUGUGAGAGUUAAAAUGGCUAAAAAAUAAAUAAAUCAGAACUCCACAAUGACAAGAGAAGUGAAAAGAGGAUUCUCAAGCUUACUCCUGAACAUUUCCCUUCUCUUUCUACCUAGCUGGAAAAAGCUUGAAAAGUGUGAGCAAACUGGUGAAAUCAAGCUGAGCAGGAAGGGGUAAACAGGACAUUUGUGUGCAUGUGUCUGUAUAAUCCCAUCACAAGAUAGUGUCGUCGAGAGCCAUUGCCCCGAGGCAGCUGGCCAUAGUCCAUCAAGGGAACUUUAAAUUAGAGUAAUGCUCACUAACACAAGGUUAGACAGUUCAUCUGCUGGAGAGAUAUGAAAAGGGGGAAUUGUCUGGUGCUGUGCUGAUGGCCCAGAGAAAAUAGAGUGAAGAAGUUUUGAAUCCCAGGCCUAUACGUGGACAUGGCUAUUUGUAGAUUGAACUGAGGCAGAUGCAGACAGGGUUGGAGAGACUGAGUCCUUUGAUAAUCGAUAAUAGCCUUGACAAAUGUAAGACAAUGUAAUAUAAAAAAAAAGUGAAAUAAAAUAAAGUUUGUCAAAUGAUUUGUUCCUGGUUGAGUAAAAUGCUGAAUAAAGUUUGUUUAAAACUAAAACUGUCUUCUUGUCCUUGUGCACAGAAUAUUUACUGUAUAACGUUUAAUUUAAAUGAUCAACAGUGUUUGAACUUUUUUGUUCUCCAAUCUUUAAAACAAGCCCACAAAUGUAUCAAAUGUCCCGACGCAGCUGGGCACAGUUGCUUUUGGCAAACGAUGCCCAAACAGGAGUGAACAGUGUGUUGCUUACGGACUACUUAAACCUGUGGAAUAAUACGAAUUUGGUGCUCUGACACUGUACAUGUGGGACCAAUUAAAGAUAAACUACAGUGAACUGCACUGAACAUCGUCAACCUUACAAGUAUAAAAAUGCAAAAGGCGCAUCUGAGGGAACACGUGUGCAUUUUCACGUGCUGAAUCCUUCCAAUAAAGUUCAGAUGCGUACAAGUAUGAUUCAUUUGGCUGCUUCAAGUUCUCCAUUUAAAAAAAAAUGGUUACAAAAUAUUGUCGUUUCCGUUUACGAUGAGUAAUCUGCUACGAUUGAAAGUGCUGAAGAACUCGUGAAUGGUUUACAGCAUAAAACACAUGAGCUUAUUUAAAGCAGGAAGCUUAUCCAAGAAAGCUUGCUAUCAGGCUUCAACUGCUAUGUAAAACUGGGUAGUUAGGCCUCCGUUGUCUAUGCAAAGUGACAGCUAAAAAAACAGUCCCCUGAGCUCUGCGGGGAGAAGAGACGUGUAAAUGAUCUAAGUAAUCUUGUUUAGAUCAGCUUUUCUGAAGAUAUAACUGACAAGCGCACACAAACAGGAAAAAUGAGUCAGACAUUCCUUGCAUAUGAAAUGCACUCCUCUCACAAAUGUUAUGAUAAGCUAUGGUAAAUGCUGCUCUUUGCUGCACUUUCACUUUACAAAAAAAAGUUCUCCUUUUUAUUCUGAGAAAGAGGAAUGACACAAAUGCUGCAGCCGGAGAUGUUCUAAAAUAUACCCUCUUUAACUGCAGCGCUAUACAGUACCUUAUCUGGUAUGUGUUGAUAUCACUAUUAGUCAUGUGUAAAGAAUCUGUGAGUGUUUGUGAGAGUUUUGUUUCCCUAGGCAAAGUUUGGCAAACCACAAAAUUCCUUUAAAUCUCCCCCAACUCCACCAAAUUAUUAACAGCUCCAAACACAGCAUAUUUAAAAAUGCUUUGAAAUUCGAGCUUGAAUAAAAGAAUGAGCUCGGAAAUACAAGCAGAGCGUUGGCAGGAUGAAUUAUCAUUCUGAUUUUGCAGAAUUUUAAUAAAUUCUCUCUAUAUUUUUAUCACAGCUAAUAUUUUUGAGCAAUAAUUCACUCUCAUUUGUUUAAUCUUCUCAUGAGCUCUCAUGCCUGAACUGAGCUUUGGGAAAACACCUAUCUAAUGAGUUCAUAGGCAAAAGUGAGGAGGGAAAAAAGCCCUUUUUACCUGCCAGUGAUCCAGCACAUCAUAUUUAAAACAAAGCAAAACAAAACAAAAACUUUAAGUGUGGGAGGCCAGUGAUGUGCCCCACCCAAGUAACUACCCUUUCAUAGAGUCAAUGAGCCCAGCCCUGAAGCUGCAUCUCCAGACUUACCAAUAAUUCCUAACGGCCUGACCCAGAAGCUGCAUCAGGAGGCCCCGUCGCACAGCCUGUGAUCCACACCCCAGAGCUGCACUGGAGGAACAGCUCACACAGCCCAGUGGGACCAGUCUUGGAUGUGCAAACAUGCAGGAACGCCUUAUCUGUGCUGUUUUCUGACAGAUACUGAACAGAUACAAAGACGGCUGCAGAAAAAAAAAGAAGAAAAACAGCAAAAGCGCACCUACAGACUUUUAAUAUUGUUCUUCAAUUCCUAUAUUAAAAAAACAAAUAAAUAAAAAAUAAACGUUACCAGUUACUAAACACAGUUACAGGGCUAAAAUGUCUGCAGCAACUUGUGUGUUUAUCAUCGGUAAAUACACACAGCUGUUAGAGUCCAGCGUAGCCAGUGAACAAUGCUGGCAGCUACACACCUCCAGCACAAGGGACACAUUAAGAGAAAUAGUAGGAGGAACUGGCCCAUACUUUGUGUGUGUGAGGGAGUGUUUAAUGUAUAAUGUCCUCACCAUGAGAGUAGGAUGAAAAUCUUAUUGCAGGCGAAUGGAUUGCAAAAUGUUAGUGUGAAGUGGAACAGGAUCUAUUUAAAGCCAUGUCUACGGUUUUGUCCCUGACGUCCUUUGACCACUCUUUGGCCUUGCCCAUGAUUGUGGAAGGGAAGAAACUGAAUCUGAUCCAGAGUCUUUGUUGGUUGAUGCAUCAGACAGAUGAACUGACUGCUGUGAAGAGAGAGUAAAAUACCUGCAGAAGGAGUGUCGGAUCUUUUUUUGUUGUUAUUUUUAUUCUUGUAUUUAAAAGAUCUCAGUGUAGCUCUCAGGGAUGUAAAAGGGAGUCUGAGCUGUAACAGGAGUGUGUGUGUGUGUGUGUGUGUGUGUGUGUACACAUGUGUGAGUUUGAGCACACUGUGUGUAUGUGUGUGAGAUUAGAGAAGGGCAAAGAGUUGAGGUGGUGUUUGAUGCUAGUCUCAGUGGCAGGCUUAAAAAAAAACAAAAACCUGUCACUCAGCUUCUCUCCACGCAAUGCAUACACACACAAACACACAUGUGACCACCCGCAUACACUACACUCACACAAUCUGGCUCUCCAGCACAGCCAUAGACUUCUAGCAGCAACACCACUGACCAUGUAAAACCUCUCUCCCUGUGCAGGCACACACAUGCAUUAAUACUUGCACACACAUGCAACUUUAUAGGCACACACACAGAACAGUUCUAAGCAUACAAAUAACAAAUAAACCAAGUCAAUUCAGCGUAUAAUCGGUGUAUCGUAAAGGAUCAAUUCCUGCAGAACACGCACAUGUACUGGAGUACACAUUCACAGACAUACAGACUUACUGUAUGGAUGCUGUACUCUUGUGUGUAAUCGUAAAGUAAAUAGGGUGCUAAGUAAACACCUAACUCAGCAACUUAUUCUCUUUGUCACGUACACACAUUUAUCCAGCACCCUAGCUGGGAGAUCUCGCUCUUUCCUUUACAGUAGGCCAUUUCUUUCAACAGAUUUAUCACCGGUGUUGCACAACCUAUUCGAUUAUCUGUGUCUGUGUGCCCUUCGUGAGAGAGUGACCAACUGAGCUUCUGUGAUAGUGUCUCUGCGGGUGUUUGUGUGUAUCAGAGGGCCGUAGGCUCAAGCUAUUAAGAUCAGUAUAGUGGUGAGAUAUGUGAUCUGAGGGAUGCUACUUCAGAGAAGUGAACAAAGCAGAUGCUGUUCCAGAGAAGAAACUGCACAAGGCCAACAUACAAACCCUGGGGGACCCCUCUACAGUGCUAGCUUUGGAGCAACUAUUGUAUUUGGCUGAAUGUAUGAACGCCAACAGUUUAAUCUAACACAGUAUAAAGGACUGCCAAGAAAAUCUGAUGUGUUAUUAUUGUCACGUUUAACCAUCUGUCUUGGGGUUUUGGUCCAAAUUUCUUAUUCACAAAGUUGAAUAAUAUCAGGCCCUCCCAACAGGGAUGUUUGUGACAACGCAUUGAUAUUCCUGACAGGAACUGUCGGGGGACUUUGGAUGUGUUGUGUGAGAUCUCUUCCUCACAGAGGUGAGUGACAAAUAAAGAAAGAAAUAUUAACUAUAAAGAAAAACAGAUUUAAAGAUAAAGAAGGACAAAGACAGCCAAAACAGAAAUAAUCUACAAAUUACUUUCGUGAAAGGAAAAUGUGUGCUGAAUUUUCAAAUGGAGAAUAACAGUGGAGAAAUUUAAGAAGGAAGGAGGAAAAUAAUAGAGGUCAGUGACAAAUACUUCUGCAAAAAGUAAAUAAAAAUUAAACAAAUCACACACAGCCAAGUGUUCAAGAUAUAUACCUUCACACUAGUUUCAGCACGCUGUUGUUGAGCUCCAUUGGCACGGAAAGAUAAAUCUGGAAGGCCGACUGGACAGAAAUCCCAAAGCUGCCAUUUUAAGGAUGCAGAACUGCAGAUUAGCCAUGGCAUGUAAAACUUCAGUGAAGAAGCAAAGUGGUCAGACAAGAAACAACAAGAAUAAAAAGUCAUCCAGAAAACUAUUUGUGAGUCAUUCGCUGGAAAAAAAAAGUCUUCAAAUUAUUUGUUUAACCUCCUAAGACCCGAACUCU
This is a long non-coding RNA of Haplochromis burtoni (Burton's mouthbrooder), 20605 nucleotides long. RefSeq lists it as uncharacterized. NCBI's taxonomy places the organism in Eukaryota, Metazoa, Chordata, Actinopteri, Cichliformes, Cichlidae. The record is from RefSeq and is a predicted model, not a curated record. The transcript is spliced from 3 exons.